UUUUUUUUUUUUUUUGUGGUGGUCUCCAGUCCUUGAUCGUUUUAGAUCACUGACAUCUGCAAAUGAAGAUCAUCAGUCAU
Molecule: long non-coding RNA, 80 nt
Organism: Sinocyclocheilus anshuiensis
Lineage: Eukaryota; Metazoa; Chordata; Actinopteri; Cypriniformes; Cyprinidae
Exons: 3
Source: RefSeq, a predicted model, not a curated record